Felis catus (domestic cat) is the source of this 1137-nucleotide long non-coding RNA. RefSeq lists it as uncharacterized. The record is from RefSeq and is a predicted model, not a curated record. Lineage: Eukaryota; Metazoa; Chordata; Mammalia; Carnivora; Felidae. The transcript is spliced from 2 exons.
CUUGGGAUUCUCUCUCUCCCUCUCUCUUUCUCUCUGUCCCUCCCCACUCGCCCUCUCUCCCUCUUUCCCUCUCUCUCUAAAUAAAUAAAACUUUAAAAAAUGAAAUAUUCAUGAAUAUGUGUACUCCAGAAUUUGUAUAUUGUGAGUGGCCAAAUUCUGAUCAUUGAAUCCAUUUCCCAAUAACAGGAAGACUCAUGGUUAAUUAGAUAUAUAACAUAUGGUGCUGUUUUUCUCCUAUAGCCAGAAUUCAUGAGUCCAGGAAGCAAGGGGUAACAAUGGGAAUGGUAAAUCUCACUGUUAAGCCUAAUAAUUCACUAGCACAAUUUUGCUUCCUGUCCCCAUGACCUUAUGUUCCACUGGUCUAGAGGUCUUUGUUCCAAGGGGAGGAAUGUUUCUACCAGACGAUACAAUAAUGAUUCCACUGAACUGGAAAUUAAGACUGCCGACUGGCCACUUUGGGUUCUCCAUGUGUCUGAAUCAACAGGCAAAGAAAGGAGUUACUGUGCUGGCUGGGGUGAUUGAUCCUGACUACCAAGGGGAAAUUGGACUACUCAUCCACCAUAGAAGGAAAGAAGAGUAUGUCUGAAAUACAGGGGAUCCCUUCGUAUUACCAUGCCCUGUGAUUAAGGCCAAUGGAAAACUACAACAACCCAACCCAGACAGAACAACUAAUGGCUCACAUCCUUCAGGAAUGAAGAUUUGGGUCACCCUAACGGUAAAGAAUCAUGCAUGACCACCUGAGAUGCUGGCUGAAGACAAAGGGAAAACAGAAUGGGUAGUGGAAGAAGGUAGUUAUAAAUACAAGCAAUGACCAUGUGACUAGUUAUAGAAGUGAGGACUAUAAUUGUCAUGAUAUUCUUCAAGAAGCAUAGAAGGAUGAUAACAAGUAGUACUUGCUCCAAAUGUUGCCAUAGGUGAACUGGACAACAUGAACUUCCUGAGACCUGGACAUUCAUAGACUUACCUUGUUUGUAACAUUUGCUUCCUUCUGCCUCUGUUGUCAUGUACACAGUGAACGUGACUUACAAAGAAGGCAGUGUCAAAUUGUUUGCUAUGUUUCUUUUGUAACGGAUUUUAUUUUUCUUCCAAUUUUAGUCCUGCCUAAUUGUUCCAUUCAAGUAAAGUCAUUUAAUCUCU